GCAGCCAUGGCGGAAUUGGUAGACGCGCAAGUUUCAGACGCUUGUAUUGAAAGAUGUGGGGGUUCAAGUCCCUCUGGCUGCACCA
This 85-nucleotide transfer RNA is filed under the name Tenericutes bacterium ADurb.Bin239. RNAcentral describes it as "tRNA-Ser". It matches the Rfam family "tRNA". From Rfam's summary of the family: Transfer RNA (tRNA) molecules are approximately 80 nucleotides in length. Lineage: Bacteria; Bacillati; Mycoplasmatota. The record is from RNAcentral. RNAcentral also lists the same sequence under 1 other name.